GUUAGUUGUCCUUCGAAACCGAUACCGACGUGUCGUUAUUAGAUUUUACGAGCGAUUUGACGCCGUCUUAAGAUACAUGCACAUGCAUUGACGUUCGAGCUGAGUUGCGUUUGAACGGUUGUCGCGAUUUAACGAGAUUUAAAAGCGGGCACCGGACGGUAGACUACACGUCUCGGGCAGAAAAGCGAUCAGGCGACGAAUACAAGCGAAGAAAAGGAGAGCACUGGACACAACGAAAUAAAUUAAUGACGCAAAAGGCGACUCGUGGUCUGACCGUUAAAUGCUUCAAUAUAAAUUAGCAGCACUUUGUGCUAAAUUAGCUAGCAAAAAUAAAGCCAGAAUCAAGCCUAUUCAUCAUUUAAGAGAAUGCAAUAGGACUAUGUUGUGAUUCAGUGACUCGUGACUCAGAGAGGUUCCUUUUUUGCCUGUGAAACUGUGAUGAAACUGCUAUUGCGACAACUAAGGUCGCUGACACAAUCGUCCUUUGAAUACGUCACUUCAAAGGAAUCAACUCUCAAUCGUCCCGCGCUGUAUCGUUUCAUCAACCACGUUUGCCCAAUAAUUUAUUUUCGCUCGCCGAAAGAGUGGUCGAAACAAAAGUUCCAUUAGGCAAAAUUUCAUUCUCACCAAACGGACGAACGAGAUCCGCCUUGUUGCCUUUAUUUCCCGACCGAGGGAGAAAAGGCGAAGGGAAGUUGGAAGGUUCACCCAUUCGCUGACUAAAUUCACUUUACUCGUCUCUAACGUACAAAGAGAGAUGUAACAAUGCCGGUCAUUCUAUUUUCACGAUGGUGGAAGGAAGCAUUGCGUGUCACAUUAAACGUUCUCAAAGCGGUGCCUCACUCAUCUAUCCUUUUCCCUAUCCACCAAGGCUAUCAUUGCUAGACUGGUCAAUAACUUUUUCUUCUUCUCCCCUAUACACUCUAUUUUCCUUCCUCCAAUCAUUAUUUCUUUCCUUUUCAUCAUCGUUUCUCAUCAACUGCCUACUUUUGGAUGUAAACCACAAGAAUCCCUUCCUUUUUCUCUUCAAGUUACAGUCUCUCGUCAACCACUCUUUUUUUCUUUUCUUCGAUCAUCUCAUCAACUUCGAAUCAUACAAAUCAUUUCCAUAUUCUUUUCAAUUAUCGUCUUUCCUUAACCGCCUCCUUUUGAACCGCAUAAAUCACCCCUUUUUUCUUUCCUUUGAUCAUCCAAGUUUGGUUAACCGCUUGUUUUUCGAGUAUGCAUAUAAAUUACCCUUAUUCUUUCUUUCAAUCUUGAUCACUCGUCUUUUUUUUCUCCCUUUUUUUUUUUUGAUCCUAUUUCUCUUUUUUAAUCGUCUCUUACCAAUCAUCUGUUUUUGAUCCGCAUACAUAAAACAUCCCACCCCCCUUCCAACUAGCAAGUCUCUGGUCAAGCUCUCCUUUACUUAUUCGUCUCCGAUCAACCAUCUGCUUAUAGGCAUAUACCGUAUAAAACCACUUUCUUGCUCUCUUUAGAUUAUCGUCCGUCGCCAAUCUUCUCCUUUCGAACUACAUAAACAACCCUCUUCCUCUCUUUGACGAUCGUCAAUGAUCUUCUUUUAUGCCAUGUAAACCACCCUCAUCGAAAUCGAAUCUCAAUGGCCACGGGUAUUGGCAAUAAAUUACCAACUUCUUCAGAGACGUCCACCAUCAACUUAUCGAACGAUCGUAAUCCCGCAUCUGAAAUCGCUCGACGGGAACGUAUUGGGCUAAUUGAUUUCGAUUCACCACUCUGGAUAGAUUAUUCACGGAUUCCGUUAUCACGAGGAAAUGGGGAGUGCAAUUGGACGAACAGAUACGGAGGAAUCGAGUAAAAGCGGAAUCGAAAGAAUAAUUUGCUAUCGGAAGGAAAGAUGGUGGAUGAAGAAUUUCACACCUGUUGAAUUUCGUUUUUUAGCGGUAAAUCGGGAUAACCCACUCUUGGAACGAUUGAUAAAUUAUUCGCCGUGAAAAGAGGGGAGACGCGCGCAUAAUUUAUCCGAUGGAUCGAGGCGGCGUCGAUCGAGCGGACACUUCACCAGGUUCGCCCGAUAAGGCGGAUAUAACGCGUGGAAGGUUAAUCGGUUAAAUGGUGAAUGGUUUUUCCGAUAUUUCAUAUUUAUGGACUUAGACUGGCGCGAAAUCGCCGUUCUAUUAUUCUGCCUUAUCGCUCUAUAAAGAAAUGUAAUUUUUUUUUUUUUUUUAUUAAAUACGCGCCAUAUAAUAAUUGGAGCGUUGUGCGUUCGAGAGUAGCUGUCUGUGAAGAUUGAAAAAUAUAUACGAAUUAAUUCGAAAUAUUAUUUAUGAAAUUCUAGAGAAGCUCUAGAUGUUGGAAAAUAUUUGAAGAUUUUAAAAGAUAUGAUAAUGAAAAGAUAACUAUAAUAUAUAUUUAAUAAUCGUGACAGUCAUUAUUAGUUAAAGAAUUCACAUUGUUAUGCUAAUAAAAUUCAUAAGUAUAUUCUAA
Molecule: long non-coding RNA, 2445 nt
Organism: Apis cerana (Asiatic honeybee)
Lineage: Eukaryota; Metazoa; Arthropoda; Insecta; Hymenoptera; Apidae
Source: RefSeq, a predicted model, not a curated record